GUCUCUGAAACAAAAGAAACUCUGUUAGUUUCUGAGGUAACAUCCAAGGAGGAUUACAUGGCCAUUUCUUCAUGAACAGUAAGAGGUUUUGUUUUUGUUUUUCUGGUGCCUUCAGGAACCAGAUAUUCUACCCUAACUUUUCUGGAUGUUUGUAUGUUUGCACCACGCUCUACUGGAGAAAAACCGAUUGUGUUUAAUUCAAGUCUAAGCACUGACUGCCACAUUUUCCAGUGCCAAAAACUUUAUAUCAUGAACAAAUUGAAAAUCAGUUUAUUGAGAUGAUUAAAGAGGUAAAUAAUUCAUACUUUACUGUGAAUUUACGAACCAGUUCUACUGCAUCUGCUUAGAUGUUUUUAUACUUCACAUUAAUUUUCACACUUGGCUGUUUUUAUCUACAGCUAUUAGGAACAACCAGUGGCUCUUACCUCAGAAAUGACUUCCUUUCUGCUCAGAGAGCCUGUUUGUCGUCUGCAAUGUUUGUAGCAUCCAGUCCCCGAACUCUUUGCUCAUUUACACUGUUUUAGUGCAAAACAUGUCAGACCAACACUCGUUAACUCACACUGCAAGGCUGUAAACCCAAAAUGCUUUUUUAAAAAUGACUAUUUUACCAACAUAAAAGAACAUCGCAGUGACACAUUAAUUGAAUGUCCACUAAUUAAUUUUGCAAGAUUCUUUAUUUAGCAACGCUUUGCAGAGGCCAGUAACAGGUUAAGCCAGCAGCAGCAAACAGGUGCCAACAGUAAGUCAACGGAAUAUAUGGUAAAAUCAACUGUAACACACCUUUUCCUACUUCUGAAACUGAGAGCACUAAAAGGAGACCUUGAGAGAUGGAGGAUGGAAUUGGAACCACAGUACCGGCCUGAUGAUGGAGGAAGAGUCGCAGCAGGAUGUGGCUCACAGAACUGACUGAUGAAGGCAGGCGUCCCUGCAGGUCUGAUGAGCCUUUACCUCUGUGCGAAUACUGGGGUUUCCCGGGCCCUGGAUGAUGGAAGAGGUCCAAUUUAGAACUGCAGAUUUUGGGGGUUCUUAAGGUAAUUUUCUCGUACGCAGCUUUUUUCUGCAGCUCUUGGAUCCUCUUCAUCUUGUUUUAAGGCCUUUUUAGUCUGUUCAGCUGUAAGACAGUUGACUGGUUGGAAGGAAAGCCAGAGUCCCUCUUCUCUGCAGUGGACUUUAAGGGUUCUUGAACUGGGAACAAUUAAAGAUCACAGUCUGCUCCUACCAUCAUCAUCAGUGGUUUCAGUUUCUCCUUUGGUCAGACCAUUUGUUUGUUGAUCAGCACACUCCUUUCCUUGGUUUCUCUUUUGCCUGGGUUCAUGCCUCUCGUGCUCUGGUUGAUCAUUCUUGCUCUCCUUUCAGUUUCUCUUUUUCCAUAACCUUUCCCCUAAACUCUGACACUUCACACCAUUAAGAGACAACAUCCUUCAUUAAACUCUGAUCAUCUUUAACUGAGUUUAGAUGCUCAGUUAAAGCAUGUAAACUCUUUGGGUUUACAUGCUUUUUCUGAUUACAAACACAUUAAACAUGAUUAUUGCUGAUAAUUGUUAACAAUAAAUCUCCCCUAGAUCUGUAUGUGAAGGAUUAAGCCAGUGCAAAAAGAAUUAUAUAUAUUAAAUAGAAUACAAAGGUAUAUCUUUCGGAUCACACUUCUCAGAACAUCCGACAGUAAAACACCUGAAAUGAUCAGCGAUUUUACCCCCAA
Long non-coding RNA from Xiphophorus couchianus (Monterrey platyfish), 1699 nucleotides. RefSeq lists it as uncharacterized. The record is from RefSeq and is a predicted model, not a curated record. The transcript is spliced from 2 exons. NCBI's taxonomy places the organism in Eukaryota, Metazoa, Chordata, Actinopteri, Cyprinodontiformes, Poeciliidae.